CUUGGGGAAACCAGCUUUAAAGAGGAGGAUAGAUUGCUCUGAGGAAAACUGGAUGUGAGUGGAUGGGGCCUCUUUAAAGAAAAUUAAGAGGCCAUAGAUCAGAGGAGAAAAUGCUAAUUCAAAGGCCAGGCAUGGCAUGGUUGAAAGCUUCAGAUGCUAUGAUUCCUUUCAAAGAAUUUCUUGAGUCUAUGCAGUUUUCAAUUCAUUAAGGUCAGUCCAAGAAUAUUUGCAGCUUGAUCUAUCUGCCCAUCCAGGGGACAGUUUUCCAGUUUUGAAGAGACCUGUUGGGAUAAAUGCAUUCAAGAUAAUAGCAUUGGGACAGGACAAAAGCCACAUCAUUGUAAAAAUGCCUUCAACCUGAAACAUUCUGAUGGAACUAUGCAUGAACAAUGGACACACACUGCCUAAUGUGGGAUGGAACAGUAGCUGGUGGACCGCGGCAUUCUCUGGAUUCGUGGUAAGAAACUCACCCUCCCUCCGAGAAGUCCAUCAGUUAAUAUUAACAAGCAGAAAGAGCAAGAACAACUUGGCAGGAAGCUCUGGAUUUCCCCCAGACUCUGAGUCAGGAGGUCAUCCAGGAAGGAGUCUGGCUGUAAAGUACACCUAUCUUCCUGUGAUGAGAGUGACGACCGGGGUGACUGGAAGCAGAGUGUAGCCUGCUCUCCUUUGGGAAACAAACACCCGC
This is a long non-coding RNA of Odocoileus virginianus texanus, 685 nucleotides long. RefSeq lists it as uncharacterized. The record is from RefSeq and is a predicted model, not a curated record. NCBI's taxonomy places the organism in Eukaryota, Metazoa, Chordata, Mammalia, Artiodactyla, Cervidae.